RNAcentral lists this long non-coding RNA (228 nucleotides) under Hordeum vulgare. Its description in RNAcentral is "long non-coding RNA (HVUL_LNC004803)". Lineage: Eukaryota; Viridiplantae; Streptophyta; Magnoliopsida; Poales; Poaceae. The record is from RNAcentral.
GGCGCCAACAGGAGCCCAUCUCCCCCUCGCUGGCCCAUUUUCCUCCCUCCUCUCGUUAUCCAGCCCAGCUCCACGACCGUCCCCUACCUCCCGCUGGCAUCACCUAGUACGACCGAACCUCCACCACUGAUCCUCCAUGCCUCGAUCCUGCCGCUCCAGCUCGUCCCCCGAGGUGAUAUAAGCCGCCCACCGUCCUCUCCAGCUCUAGGGUUCCUCGUUUUCCUCCCC